Molecule: small nuclear RNA, 19 nt
Filed under: Arabidopsis thaliana (thale cress)
Lineage: Eukaryota; Viridiplantae; Streptophyta; Magnoliopsida; Brassicales; Brassicaceae
Description: snRNA_03328
Source: RNAcentral
CCCUGGAAAGGGGCGCCAG